Molecule: long non-coding RNA, 1113 nt
Filed under: Phasianus colchicus (ring-necked pheasant)
Lineage: Eukaryota; Metazoa; Chordata; Aves; Galliformes; Phasianidae
Description: lncRNA (ENSPCLG00000015115.1)
Source: RNAcentral
AUGGGGACAGUGGGAGAGCUGUGGGGCCAAUGGGAGAGCAAUGGGGCCAAGAAGAGAGCAAUGGGGUCAAUGGGAGGGCAAUGGGGCCAGGAGGAGAGUGAUGGGGACAGUGGGAGGGCAAUGGGGCCAAGAAGAGAGCAACGGGGCCAAUGGGAGGGCAAUGGGGUCAAGAAGAGAGCAAUGGGAGCCAGAGGAGAGCAAUGGGGCCAAUGGGAGAGCAAUGGGGUCAAUGGGAGAGCUAUGGGGCUGAUGGGAGAGCUAUGGGGCCAAGAAGAGAGCAAUGGGAACAAUGGGAGAGCAAUGGGGUCAAGAAGAGAGCAAUGGGAACAAUGGGAGGGCAGUGGGGCUGAUGGGAGAGCAAUGGGGUCAAUGGGAGAGCAACGGGGCCAAUGGGAGGGCAAUGGGGUCAAGAAGAGAGCAGUGGGAGCCAGAGGAGAGCAAUGGGGCCAAUGGGAGAGCAAUGGGGUUGAUGGGAUGGCAGUGGGGCUGGUAGGAGAGCGAUGGGGUCAGCAGGAGAGCAAUGGGGCUGAUGGAAGAGCAAUGGGGCCAAGAAGAGAGCAAUGGGGCCAAUGGGAGAGCAGUGGGGACAAUGGGAGAGCUAUGGGAACAAUGGGAGGGCAAUGGGGACAAUGGGAGGGCAAUGGGGACAAUGGGAGAGCAGUGGGGCCAGGAGGAGAGCAAUGGGAGCCAGAGGAGAAUAAUGGGGACAAUGGGAGGGCAGUGGGGCUGAUGGGAGAGCUAUGGGGCCAAUGGGAGAGCAAUGGGGCCAGCAGGGGAGCUAUGGGGCCAGCAGGAAAGCUGUGGGGCCAGCAGGAGAGCUAUGGGGCCAAGAGAAGAGCUAUGGGGCCAGCAGGGGAGCUAUGGGGCCAGCAGGAGAGCUAUGGGGCCAAUGGAAGAGCAGUGGGGCCAGCAGGAGAGCUAUGGGGCCAGCAGGAGAGCUAUGGGGCCAAUAGAAGAGCAGUGGGGCCAGCAGGAGAGCUAUGGGGCCAAGAGAAGGGCUGUGGGGCCAGCAGGACAGCUAUGGGGUGGGGAUGGGGUGGGAUAUGGGGCGGGGGUGGGAUUGGGGUGGGAUGGGAUUGGAUGGAAAUCCCAAUGAUUUCAGGAUCCUACUGA